UGGGGAGUAUUGGGCAAUGGGCGCAAGCCUGACCCAGCAACGCCGCGUGAAGGAAGACGGUCUUCGGAUUGUAAACUUCUUUAGACAGGGACGAAACAAAUGACGGUACCUGUAGAAUAAGCCACGGCUAACUACGUGCCAGCAGCCGCGGUAAUACGUAGGUGGCGAGCGUUAUCCGGAAUUACUGGGUGUAAGGGCGUGUAGGCGGCACUGUAAGUCAGAUGUGAAAUCUCCCGGCUCAACCGGGAGCGUGCAUCUGAUACUGCAAUGCUUGAGUGAUAGAGGGGAAAGCGGAAUUCCUAGUGUAGCGGUAAAAUGCGUAGAUAUUAGGAGGAACACCAGUGGCGAAGGCGGCUUUCUGGCUAUUAACUGACGCUGAGGCGCGAAAGCGUGGGGAGCAAACAGG
Molecule: ribosomal RNA, 406 nt
Filed under: Acidobacteriota bacterium
Lineage: Bacteria; Pseudomonadati; Acidobacteriota
Description: Acidobacteria bacterium partial 16S ribosomal RNA
Rfam family: Bacterial small subunit ribosomal RNA
Source: RNAcentral